Molecule: non-coding RNA, 179 nt
Filed under: Halioglobus sp.
Lineage: Bacteria; Pseudomonadati; Pseudomonadota; Gammaproteobacteria; Cellvibrionales; Halieaceae
Description: 6S RNA
Rfam family: 6S / SsrS RNA
About the family: E. coli 6S RNA was the first non coding RNA to be sequenced, but its function was unknown until recently. It consists of 184 nucleotides that fold into an extended hairpin structure with a large single-stranded internal bulge.
Source: RNAcentral
GGGUCCCUGGCUUAUUCGCCAGACUUACAGUCCUCGAGCCGAUAAUAUGUAAUCGGGGGUUUCUUGUAACGUUGGUGUGCAAGUCCGGAUUUAACCGGGAAGCCUGAAACGGUGCCGAAACCACCACCUUGAACCAUCGGGUUCAAGGGCAGUUCUGUCAGCGGUAUGCCGGGGAUCCU